RNAcentral lists this ribosomal RNA (497 nucleotides) under uncultured bacterium. RNAcentral describes it as "partial 16S ribosomal RNA". It matches the Rfam family "Bacterial small subunit ribosomal RNA", at positions 28 to 507 of the family's 1533-position model. The record is from RNAcentral.
GAUGAACGCUGGCGGCGUGCCUAAUACAUGCAAGUCGAGCGAACGGACGAGAAGCUUGCUUCUCUGAUGUUAGCGGCGGACGGGUGAGUAACACGUGGAUAACCUACCUAUAAGACUGGGAUAACUUCGGGAAACCGGAGCUAAUACCGGAUAAUAUUUUGAACCGCAUGGUUCAAAAGUGAAAGACGGUCUUGCUGUCACUUAUAGAUGGAUCCGCGCUGCAUUAGCUAGUUGGUAAGGUAACGGCUUACCAAGGCAACGAUGCAUAGCCGACCUGAGAGGGUGAUCGGCCACACUGGAACUGAGACACGGUCCAGACUCCUACGGGAGGCAGCAGUAGGGAAUCUUCAGCAAUGGGAGAAAGCCUGACGGAGCAACGCCGCGUGAGUGAUGAAGGUCUUCGGAUCGUAAAACUCUGUUAUUAGGGAAGAACAUAUGUGUAAGUAACUGUGCACAUCUUGACGGUACCUAAUCAGAAAGCCACGGCUAACUACGUG